AUUGAACGCUGGCGGCAGACUUAACACAUGCAAGUCGACCGAGUGGCGGACGGGUGAGUAAUGAUUGGGAAACUAGCUGAUGGAGGGGGAAAACUACGGGAAACGGUAGCUAAUACCACAUACCAUAUAGAGAUCACAUGUGGGAUUAGAUGGUUGGUGAGGUAAAGGCUCACCAAGCCGACGAUCCCUAGCUGGUCUGAGAGGAUGACCAGCCACACUGGGACUGAGACACGGUCCAGACUCCUACGGGAGGCAGCAGUGGGGAAUAUUGCGCAAUGGGCGCAACCCGGACGCAGCCAUGCCGCGUGAAUGAAGAAGGCCUUCGGGUUGUAAAGUACUUUCAGCGGCGAUGCGUUACCUGCAGAAGAAGCACCGGCUAACUCCGUGCCAGCAGCCGCGGUAAUUC
RNAcentral lists this ribosomal RNA (406 nucleotides) under uncultured bacterium. Its description in RNAcentral is "partial 16S ribosomal RNA". It matches the Rfam family "Bacterial small subunit ribosomal RNA", at positions 30 to 526 of the family's 1533-position model. The record is from RNAcentral.